RNAcentral lists this long non-coding RNA (450 nucleotides) under Pan troglodytes (chimpanzee). RNAcentral describes it as "long non-coding RNA NONPTRT009502". The record is from RNAcentral. Lineage: Eukaryota; Metazoa; Chordata; Mammalia; Primates; Hominidae.
GAGCAGAUUUGCAAAGGAGGAGAAAGCCCGGACGUGGAGGGCUCGAGGGCUGCCGCCAACCUCGGGGUGAUCACGUGACCCCCAAGGCUAGCCAGCAAGAGGACCUCAUUCCUCCACCACAGACAGCAGGACAGGGGUGGGCAUGGGGCCCGAGCCCACACAAAGCCCUGCCUGGGAUUUUGCUGAAGACAGAAGCACCCUGACCCUCCAAGUUGGGAGUUUCGAGGACCCCCUGAACUGAGAGCUCCCGGGCCGUCUUUCCCUGAGAAUGAAGCCAACACAGGCAGGAUUGAGCUUAGAGUCUGAAUUCGAUGGUGCCUAGUGACAGCCUCUGAACUCCUGGACCCAGCUACACCUGAAGCCAUUCUACCCCACAUUUUCUAGGACUUUCCUGUAUGACUGCAUGGCUAAUAGCACUUCUCCUCGACACCGGUGCUGUUCUCGGAAUCC